UGGAAAUAUAUAAGGCAUCAUUUUGUCUCCAUAUAGGACAGCUCAAUUAAUCAAAGCUGCACAAGCUGUGGAGCAGUGCAAAAGGACGCCAAGGCCUCUUCAGCCACGAACUGCACAAGCUCUGGAACAUUGAGGAGCUGAAGCAGCAGCUGCAAGCAAUGACACCCUGAUUGGAGAUGCAGCCGAGCUGAGCUAUAUAAGGCAGAGUUCCUUUUGUGGAAAAGAGAGAGACUUUGAGACUUGUCGUCUACUCUCCAUGUGCGUGUUGUUAGGGACCUUUGAGUCUCCUGCCCCAGAAACUGUUGUGUUUGAACCUCUUUGUGAGCAGAUGAUUUUUCUAUCAUCUUGUGCUGUGUGCUAAGACUGAAGAAAAUACUAAAUUGCUUGACUUUAUUUAUAAUUUUGGAACACUUUGUUUAUAUAGAAAAUUGUAGAGAGGAGGAUGCCAUUUUGUGCUUAUUGACCAACUUUUUCUCCUGUUUUUGGCUAGUUAGGGAGUGAGGGUAGAUUUCUGUUUAUUGUUUAAUUUAUUUUAUUAAAGGUAAGGCAGUUCCACUCCUAACUAGCUAGAAUACCUUAUUAUUUUGGCCUGGUCCCCUCCUGAAGCCAUCUUACUUUGUAUUUAAAACCAUUAAAUAAUAUCUUUGUUUUGAGAACUGGUAUGUUAUGUAAUCAUUCUGGGACAGGAGAUAAAGUCUCCUGAAUGUUUUUCGUGUUCUUUUGUUACCCUUUUCCUCAAACCCUAGACAAAAGGGGAACGGGACGUAACAACUGGAAGAAUAAAAAAUAACAGUUAAUUUUAUCUAAGGGCCAUUAGAUAUACAGCUCCGCCUGUUCUAAAUCAGACAGAGAAAAAGUAGUGCGACCACACACUUGGUCAAAACUGUGAAUUUAAAUGCACAAUCCAGAAAUAAUAUUAUCCACAGAAUGAGCUGACACUCCAGAGGAAAUUUACUAUUAAGUUCAAAAAGGUACUCCACAGACUCUCAACAAUAAACCUGGUAAAGUCGGGCAGAGGAGCACUCAGUUACACUCAACAUUCAGAGCGUGCAAGGCUGGAUUCAGCGAACAGUUACACAGCCCCUGUCAAAUUCCUGAAAGAUCUUUCCAUAGUCGGAGGAAAGUGCAGCAUACUGAUUCAUCUUUAUCGAGGUGUAGAACUUCAAGACAAGAGAGGGAAAUUGAGGAUGACUUUUUGAGUUUGUUUUCUCUGCAUCCAGUUCUUAUCUGUAUUUGGAGAAUGAGUGCCCACGAGCAAAGUUUUUAAGCAAUCAUUUCAAAUCACAUACUUCACGGUGGUCCUGUGCCGGCCAAGCAACUGCCAUUGUGGUGAAUGGGAAUGCUAAUGGUUAGCUCUCUCCAGAUAUUAUACAUGUUUAUGUGCAUUAAAAUGUGCAUAUUCAACGAAUGUGUAUUGGCAUGCAGCAUCUCAGUGAUUGAAAUGCUUGAUUUGCCUUUGUAGAGGCAGGCUUGAUUUUGUCACCAAUUAUCUGAUAAUAAAUUCACUUAUCUCUCG
Molecule: long non-coding RNA, 1516 nt
Organism: Myxocyprinus asiaticus (Chinese sucker)
Lineage: Eukaryota; Metazoa; Chordata; Actinopteri; Cypriniformes; Catostomidae
Exons: 2
Source: RefSeq, a predicted model, not a curated record